This 1186-nucleotide ribosomal RNA is filed under the name Prevotella amnii. Its description in RNAcentral is "bacterial SSU rRNA". It matches the Rfam family "Bacterial small subunit ribosomal RNA", at positions 124 to 1313 of the family's 1533-position model. Lineage: Bacteria; Pseudomonadati; Bacteroidota; Bacteroidia; Bacteroidales; Prevotellaceae. The record is from RNAcentral.
ACCUACCCAUUACUAGGGAAUAACCCAGCGAAAGUUGGCCUAAUGCCCUAUGUAGUCGUUUGAUCGCCUGAGAUUUCGACGAAAGAUUUAUCGGUAUUGGAUGGGGAUGCGUCUGAUUAGCUUGUUGGCGGGGUAAAGGCCCACCAAGGCAACGAUCAGUAGGGGUUCUGAGAGGAAGGUCCCCCACAUUGGAACUGAGACACGGUCCAAACUCCUACGGGAGGCAGCAGUGAGGAAUAUUGGUCAAUGGGCGAGAGCCUGAACCAGCCAAGUAGCGUGCAGGAUGACGGCCCUAUGGGUUGUAAACUGCUUUUAUAUGGGAAUAAAGUGAGGGACGUGUCCCUUAUUGCAUGUACCAUACGAAUAAGGACCGGCUAAUUCCGUGCCAGCAGCCGCGGUAAUACGGAAGGUCCAGGCGUUGUCCGGAUUUAUUGGGUUUAAAGGGAGCGUAGGNUGUUUGUUAAGCGUGUUGUGAAAUGUAAGAGCUCAACUUUUAGAUUGCAGCGCGAACUGGCAGACUUGAGUGCGCACAACGUAGGCGGAAUUCAUGGUGUAGCGGUGAAAUGCUUAGAUAUCAUGACGAACUCCGAUUGCGAAGGCAGCUUACGGGAGCGCAACUGACGCUAAAGCUCGAAGGUGCGGGUAUCGAACAGGAUUAGAUACCCUGGUAGUCCGCACAGUAAACGAUGGAUGCCCGCUGUUAGCACCUAGUGUUAGCGGCUAAGCGAAAGCAUUAAGCAUCCCACCUGGGGAGUACGCCGGCAACGGUGAAACUCAAAGGAAUUGACGGGGGCCCGCACAAGCGGAGGAACAUGUGGUUUAAUUCGAUGAUACGCGAGGAACCUUACCCGGGCUUGAAUUGCAGAUGUUUAUAUCAGAGAUGAUAUAUUCCCUUCGGGGCAUUUGUGAAGGUGCUGCAUGGUUGUCGUCAGCUCGUGCCGUGAGGUGUCGGCUUAAGUGCCAUAACGAGCGCAACCCCUUUUUUUAGUUGCCAUCAGGUAGUGCUGGGCACUCUAGAGAUACUGCCACCGUAAGGUGUGAGGAAGGUGGGGAUGACGUCAAAUCAGCACGGCCCUUACGUCCGGGGCUACACACGUGUUACAAUGGGUGGUACAGAGAGUUGGUUGUACGCAAGUGCAAUCUAAUCCUAAAAACCAUUCUCAGUUCGGACUGGGGUCUGCAACCC